AGAGUUUGAUCCUGGCUCAGGAUGAACGCUGGCGGCGUGCCUAAUACAUGCAAGUCGAGCGAAUGGAUUGAGAGCUUGCUCUCAAGAAGUUAGCGGCGGACGGGUGAGUAACACGUGGGUAACCUGCCCAUAAGACUGGGAUAACUCCGGGAAACCGGGGCUAAUACCGGAUAAUAUUUUGAACUGCAUGGUUCGAAAUUGAAAGGCGGCUUCGGCUGUCACUUAUGGAUGGACCCGCGUCGCAUUAGCUAGUUGGUGAGGUAACGGCUCACCAAGGCAACGAUGCGUAGCCGACCUGAGAGGGUGAUCGGCCACACUGGGACUGAGACACGGCCCAGACUCCUACGGGAGGCAGCAGUAGGGAAUCUUCCGCAAUGGACGAAAGUCUGACGGAGCAACGCCGCGUGAGUGAUGAAGGCUUUCGGGUCGUAAAACUCUGUUGUUAGGGAAGAACAAGUGCUAGUUGAAUAAGCUGGCACCUUGACGGUACCUAACCAGAAAGCCACGGCUAACUACGUGCCAGCAGCCGCGGUAAUACGUAGGUGGCAAGCGUUAUCCGGAAUUAUUGGGCGUAAAGCGCGCGCAGGUGGUUUCUUAAGUCUGAUGUGAAAGCCCACGGCUCAACCGUGGAGGGUCAUUGGAAACUGGGGAACUUGAGUGCAGAAGAGGAGAGUGGAAUUCCACGUGUAGCGGUGAAAUGCGUAGAGAUGUGGAGGAACACCAGUGGCGAAGGCGACUCUCUGGUCUGUAACUGACGCUGAGGCGCGAAAGCAUGGGGAGCGAACAGGAUUAGAUACCCUGGUAGU
RNAcentral lists this ribosomal RNA (806 nucleotides) under uncultured bacterium. RNAcentral describes it as "bacterial SSU rRNA". It matches the Rfam family "Bacterial small subunit ribosomal RNA", at positions 8 to 794 of the family's 1533-position model. The record is from RNAcentral.